UGACAAGAUGUGGCCGUUUCGAUCAUGAG
Molecule: non-coding RNA, 29 nt
Filed under: Mus musculus (house mouse)
Lineage: Eukaryota; Metazoa; Chordata; Mammalia; Rodentia; Muridae
Source: RNAcentral